Molecule: long non-coding RNA, 134 nt
Organism: Melitaea cinxia (Glanville fritillary)
Lineage: Eukaryota; Metazoa; Arthropoda; Insecta; Lepidoptera; Nymphalidae
Exons: 3
Source: RefSeq, a predicted model, not a curated record
CUCCGAGACCGGAGGUCGAUAGCAGGUUGAGUCAGUUGAGGUUGAGAUAGAUCUUCUGAUGCUUACCGGGCCAGUGAAAUGUUCUAGUGAGUUGGAACCAGAUGCGGCAUAGUUCACGGCAACCUCUGCCGGCC